Molecule: small nucleolar RNA, 107 nt
Filed under: Sorghum bicolor (sorghum)
Lineage: Eukaryota; Viridiplantae; Streptophyta; Magnoliopsida; Poales; Poaceae
Description: Plant small nucleolar RNA R71
Rfam family: Plant small nucleolar RNA R71
About the family: R71 is a member of the C/D box family of snoRNAs containing the C (UGAUGA) and D (CUGA) box motifs. Multiple nearly identical copies of this snoRNA have been identified in Arabidopsis, and it is thought to function as a 2'-O-ribose methylation guide for 18S ribosomal RNA.
Source: Rfam by way of RNAcentral
AUUCCAUGAUUGGGACAUUCUAGGAUGUAGUCUUGGAAGCGCUCCCAUGCUUCUGGAACGGAUUCAUCAUGUUGUUGCUGAAAACUUGUAAUCUUCCCACGGAGAGC